AGCUGACUUUGAGUUCAGUCAAGUCAGUUCAGUCAAGUGUUAUCCUUUGGACCGGGUGGUCAAGUAAUAUUUCAGUCCGCAACGGACAGUAGCGACUUAGAAAAGUCUAUAGUAAUUUCAGUUAGAAAGUAACUUGUGGGCAGUUGUUGCCAGUGGUCUUUUUGAGACAUGUAUUAGUUAAUCUAUAUUUCUGCACAGUGUUACCCGCUGAGAUGCGGACGUGAUUUGUAACUAACGUAUUGGAUAUUUUUGAUACCGCUGUCAUGCGGAUAGUAUUGUUUAUUAUUUCUUGACUUGUAGCACUAACAAGGAGUGCAGUAUUAUUAUUAUUGUAGUAAAAUAAACUUUAUAUUUGUCUGCUGACACGGACUUAAGUCAGUUUAUAGUAUUUGUCUUGUCACGUGUCAAGAGUACUUCAGGAGGCAGGAACCCAGCAUUACACGACAUUCGCAUUCUGCAACCUUACAUUUACAAUCGGUUCAGAAAAAUUCAGCCGGAGAGAACUGGGAUACCCCUAUCUUCAUAUUAACUAUAUCAGUAAUGACCAAACUACGGUCCAAGUAUCACAUCCAGCCCAUGGCGCAGUGAUUCACUGACCUUCAACAUUUCUUCCCACACCGCACGAUGACGAAGCUCCAUUGGAUCUGACGAUUUUUUUUUUUUUGGCGGGAAUGCGGUCGGAAAUUUAUUUCGCCAUAGGCCAAAAAGGUAGAUUCUACAUUCAAAGUUCCAAUUCACACACAAAUGUUAAAGGUCAUGGUACCAAUCUAUCAGAGAAAAGUGAGGACCCAAACGUAGUCUGUGGUGAUUCUAACAGAACUUCAGGACCUCUCGGUGUCAACUGGUGAAGAUUUGUUGUCUCGGGGUUUCAUUUGGGGGAAAAAUUAUCACCAGACCAGACAUACUUGUAUUCAUAAUCUACUUAGAUCUAGUCCAAUAAAUUCCUCAUGAGCGCACUGCAAUGCUGUCUGGCUUCAAACUUUGGUUUCUUAACAGGUUAACAUCUGGAAGCCUGGGCAGUUCUGCCCACUAAGUGUUUCUCCGAUGGUGAUGAGGAGAAACGGUCAGACUACUAAAGUUCCUUUGGACCUGUAUACAAUGGCGCCGAUCUCACGUCUUAUCCUCAACGUGAGAAUGACUGUUAGUGAUGUCCAGGAACAUUGUUGAUUAGCCCAGCUUUAAGUAUAUAGUGUUGGACAUAAAAACAUCAGAACAAUAGGAAUUCAAGCUGAUCUGUCAGCUGGUAAACGCACCAACAAAAUCAUGAACUAUGAACAAUUUUGGAUCAUCGCUCUUUGUAAUGAACAAGAAAAAAAAAUCUUAUUUUGACCACUCGCUUAUGCUCCUAUAUCUGCGACUAUGACUUUAUAAUUGAUGAACUCCAGCGGGUAUAUUACAAUGCCAGUGCCAAUGAUCAUUGAACUAUAUAUAACUUCUCAAUAACACUGACUGCUCAACAGUAUUAUAUGGUCUGAAUGUGGAUGGGUUCACCUGUUUGUCUUGUGUGUUAGUGUCAUUGAAAAUAUCUGAAUAAACCACAUAAAAAAUAAGACAAGGCAGAGUGGCCUAGGUCUUCUGUAGUGCCCUGGUAAGGAACUCUGCUGUGCGGCGUAGUGCCUCAUUGCCUCCAUACAGAUCUAGUUGACCACUGGAUACGUCUCCCAGCUGUGGACACUCUUGCAAGACGUGCACUACAUUUUCCCCGCAGCGUCGGCAACGGGCAUCAAAAUCCUAGAAAUAUCAGUAUCAUGUAAAACUGGACUCACUGAUGAUAUUAAAUAUCCAAAUAGAAUUCUAACCACUGUUAGGCUUCGACCUUUUAAAGUUUUCAAUUUAUAAAACUUCGCCACCUCAUCACAUAAAUUACUGCAUUCGGUUUGCAACCCGAGGGAUCACACAUUCAUGCUAAACCAAGUCAGAGUUCAGAGGUCACAGAGGUCACAAAACCUGAAGAUCUGAACGCCAUUUCCGUUUAAUAUUGUAAAUGAUUCAGAGUUGAGACUUGGACCAUUGCCACUCAGCCAGUGCUGAAUUUCAAGUGGUCCUUCAGUCUGCACUUUACAAGACCAAUGAGAGAUAUAAGAAUAAUGGAAUUGGUUCUUAUGUCUGGCUCCAGAGAGCUGACCAUAGAACACUAUGUUAAGUGGUCAGUAUUGAUUUGAUAGCAUUCGAUGAUGGAAAUACUAAUAAUUAUCACCAGCGGCUAGAUUCUUUUCUUUUUUAUUUGCUUUUAUAAAAACUAGAAUCGGAAAUUUGAAUGAAGUCAAUAUACAUCUACACGAGUACAAAACGAAGAGAGAGAGAGAGAAAUGGGAGAAAAAGAGAGAGAAAGAGAAGGAGAAAUGAGUAAGAUAGGGGAGAGAAUGAUGAAGAUAAUGGGAGAGAGAGAGGGUCAGGGGAGAGGCAACACAAUGUAAGAAAAGCGAAAUAUAUCAAAGAUAUACAAAUGUAAUUACAUUACUGCUAUCUCUGAAUACCGUGUAAUCAAAGUGUUAAUACUGUUACGUAUUUCUGAAU
This is a long non-coding RNA of Biomphalaria glabrata, 2517 nucleotides long. RefSeq lists it as uncharacterized. The record is from RefSeq and is a predicted model, not a curated record. Lineage: Eukaryota; Metazoa; Mollusca; Gastropoda; Planorbidae. The transcript is spliced from 3 exons.